This 987-nucleotide ribosomal RNA is filed under the name Salmonella enterica subsp. enterica serovar Enteritidis. RNAcentral's name for it is "partial 23S ribosomal RNA". It matches the Rfam family "Bacterial large subunit ribosomal RNA", at positions 1956 to 2925 of the family's 2925-position model. Lineage: Bacteria; Pseudomonadati; Pseudomonadota; Gammaproteobacteria; Enterobacterales; Enterobacteriaceae. The record is from RNAcentral.
GUAGCGAAAUUCCUUGUCGGGUAAGUUCCGACCUGCACGAAUGGCGUAAUGAUGGCCAGGCUGUCUCCACCCGAGACUCAGUGAAAUUGAACUCGCUGUGAAGAUGCAGUGUACCCGCGGCAAGACGGAAAGACCCCGUGAACCUUUACUAUAGCUUGACACUGAACAUUGAGCCUUGAUGUGUAGGAUAGGUGGGAGGCUUUGAAGUGUGGACGCCAGUCUGCAUGGAGCCGACCUUGAAAUACCACCCUUUAAUGUUUGAUGUUCUAACGUGGACCCGUUACCCGGGUUGCGGACAGUGUCUGGUGGGUAGUUUGACUGGGGCGGUCUCCUCCUAAAGAGUAACGGAGGAGCACGAAGGUUGGCUAAUCCUGGUCGGACAUCAGGAGGUUAGUGCAAUGGCAUAAGCCAGCUUGACUGCGAGCGUGACGGCGCGAGCAGGUGCGAAAGCAGGUCAUAGUGAUCCGGUGGUUCUGAAUGGAAGGGCCAUCGCUCAACGGAUAAAAGGUACUCCGGGGAUAACAGGCUGAUACCGCCCAAGAGUUCAUAUCGACGGCGGUGUUUGGCACCUCGAUGUCGGCUCAUCACAUCCUGGGGCUGAAGUAGGUCCCAAGGGUAUGGCUGUUCGCCAUUUAAAGUGGUACGCGAGCUGGGUUUAGAACGUCGUGAGACAGUUCGGUCCCUAUCUGCCGUGGGCGCUGGAGAACUGAGGGGGGCUGCUCCUAGUACGAGAGGACCGGAGUGGACGCAUCACUGGUGUUCGGGUUGUCAUGCCAAUGGCACUGCCCGGUAGCUAAAUGCGGAAGAGAUAAGUGCUGAAAGCAUCUAAGCACGAAACUUGCCCCGAGAUGAGUUCUCCCUGAGACUUAGAGUCUCCUGAAGGAACGUUGAAGACGACGACGUUGAUAGGCCGGGUGUGUAAGCGCAGCGAUGCGUUGAGCUAACCGGUACUAAUGAACCGUGAGGCUUAACCUUACAACGCCGAAG